GACGAACGCUGGCGGCGUGCCUAAUACAUGCAAGUUGAGCGAUGAAGAUUGGUGCUUGCACCAAUUUGAAGAGCAGCGAACGGGUGAGUAACGCGUGGGGAAUCUGCCUUUGAGCGGGGGACAACAUUUGGAAACGAAUGCUAAUACCGCAUAAUAACUUUAAACAUAAGUUUUAAGUUUGAAAGAUGCAAUUGCAUCACUCAAAGAUGAUCCCGCGUUGUAUUAGCUAGUUGGUGAGGUAAAGGCUCACCAAGGCGAUGAUACAUAGCCGACCUGAGAGGGUGAUCGGCCACAUUGGGACUGAGACACGGCCCAAACUCCUACGGGAGGCAGCAGUAGGGAAUCUUCGGCAAUGGACGAAAGUCUGACCGAGCAACGCCGCGUGAGUGAAGAAGGGUUUCGGAUCGUAAAACUCUGUUGGUAGAGAAGAACGUUGGUGAGAGUGGAAAGCUCAUCAAGUGACGGUAACUACCCAGAAAGGGACGGCUAACUACGUG
This 497-nucleotide ribosomal RNA is filed under the name uncultured bacterium. RNAcentral's name for it is "partial 16S ribosomal RNA". It matches the Rfam family "Bacterial small subunit ribosomal RNA", at positions 28 to 507 of the family's 1533-position model. The record is from RNAcentral.